UGGGGAAUAUUGGGCAAUGGGCGAAAGCCUGACCCAGCUAUGCCGCGUGAAUGAUGAAGGCCUUAGGGUUGUAAAGUUCUUUUAGAUGGGAAGAUAAUGACGGUACCAUCAGAAAAAGCUCCGGCUAACUUCGUGCCAGCAGCCGCGGUAAUACGAAGGGAGCAAGCGUUGCUCGGAUUUAUUGGGCGUAAAGGGUGUGUAGGCGGUUUGAUAAGUUAGAUGUGAAAGCCCAGGGCUUAACCCUGGAAUUGCAUUUAAGACUGUUGAACUUGAAGAUUGGAGAGGUUAGCAGAAUUCCCAGUGUAGAGGUGAAAUUCGUAGAUAUUGGGAAGAAUACCAAUGGCGUAGGCAGCUAACUGGCCAAAUCUUGACGCUGAGGCACGAAAGCGUGGGGAGCAAACA
RNAcentral lists this ribosomal RNA (402 nucleotides) under uncultured Pseudomonadota bacterium. RNAcentral's name for it is "bacterial SSU rRNA". It matches the Rfam family "Bacterial small subunit ribosomal RNA", at positions 355 to 774 of the family's 1533-position model. Lineage: Bacteria; Pseudomonadati; Pseudomonadota. The record is from RNAcentral.